RNAcentral lists this ribosomal RNA (546 nucleotides) under Triticum aestivum (bread wheat). RNAcentral's name for it is "partial small subunit ribosomal RNA". The record is from RNAcentral. Lineage: Eukaryota; Viridiplantae; Streptophyta; Magnoliopsida; Poales; Poaceae.
AUGGUUGGCUCUAAGCGAGGGAUAGAUAUGUAUUCCAUUAUUCUACUGGAAUAUGACAUGAGGAUCAAGGCAGGCAGAGUAGAAGAUGAUGAUCACCAGCUGAUUGACGGUGUAUCAGCCCUAAGCGACCUGCAAGGCACAUGGAAUCGUGCAUUCAGAAAACGCAUCCAUGGCGAUUGCGGCGCGGUUGACCUAGUGUUAGCACGCAUCCAUGAUGCGGUCCUGGCGAAUGUGGAAGUUGUCAUAUCAGAGGUGCAGAACAGUUUCAAUUUGUGUCUCCGAUGUUCCAUUGGUGGUUAUAAAAAGCAAAUCCGGCUCUUCGAUGGCGCCAUUGGCGAGUCACGUGGCUUAAAGAGGUCUGUGGUUGUUGUAGUGGAUGGAUCCACUAUGGAUUUGAAGUUCGAGGUUGCCUCGGAGCCAUCCUGUUCAGCGGAGCACCGUCGUUCCUUCAAGGCGCGCACGCAUGGGCUUGAUACUCGAGAGAUAAAGACUGAAUUUGGGUUGAUCUCAGUGAAGGUGGCUUGGUCGACUCUGCUUUCCACCUAG